RNAcentral lists this ribosomal RNA (463 nucleotides) under uncultured bacterium. RNAcentral describes it as "partial 16S ribosomal RNA". It matches the Rfam family "Bacterial small subunit ribosomal RNA", at positions 28 to 507 of the family's 1533-position model. The record is from RNAcentral.
GACGAACGCUGGCGGCGUGCUUAACACAUGCAAGUCGAACGGUGAACCUCUUCGGUGGGGCUCCGUGGCGAACGGGUGAGUAACACGUGGGCAACCUGCCCCCGGCUCUGGGAUAACUCCAAGAAUUUGGGGCAAAUAACGGAUGUUCACCGCUUCUCGCAUGGGUGGUGGUGGAAAGGGUUUCCGGCUGGGUAUGGGCUCGCGGCCUAUCAGCUUGUUGGUGUGGUCGUGGCCUACCAAGGCGACGUCGGGUAGCCGGCCUGAGGUGGUGACCGACCGCACUGGGACUGAGGGGCGGCCCAGGUACCUAAGGGAGGCAGCAGUGGGGAAGAUUGCGCGAGGGACGGAAGCCUGACGCAGAGACUCCGCGUGGGGGAUAACGGCCUUCGGGGUGUAGACCUAUUGCAGCAGGAACGAAGCGCAAGUGACGGUACCUUCAGAAGAAAGACCGGGCAACUACGUG